RNAcentral lists this ribosomal RNA (397 nucleotides) under uncultured bacterium. RNAcentral's name for it is "partial 16S ribosomal RNA". It matches the Rfam family "Bacterial small subunit ribosomal RNA", at positions 523 to 918 of the family's 1533-position model. The record is from RNAcentral.
AUACGUAGGUGACAAGCGUUAUCCGGAUUUACUGGGCGUAAAGGGCGUGUAGGCGGUCUUGCAAGUCAGAAGUGAAAUUCCUGAGCUCAACUCGGGCGCUGCUUCUGAAACUGCAGGACUUGAGUGCUGGAGGGGAUAGCGGAAUUCCUAGUGGAGCGGUAAAAUGCGCAGAUAUUAGGAAGAACACCGGUGGCGAAGGCGGAUAUCUGGACAGGAACUGACGCUGAGGCGCGAAAGCGUGGGGAGCAAACAGGAUUAGAUUCCCUGGUAGUCCACGCCGUAAACGAAGAAUACUAGGUGUAGGGGGUAUCGACUCCCUCUGUGCCGCAGUUAACACAAUAAGUAUUCCGCCUGGGGAGUACGGCCGCAAGGUUGAAACUCAAAGGAAUUGACGGGG